Molecule: RNA transcript, 1768 nt
Organism: Drosophila sulfurigaster albostrigata
Lineage: Eukaryota; Metazoa; Arthropoda; Insecta; Diptera; Drosophilidae
Gene name: WASH complex subunit 3
Exons: 3
Source: RefSeq, a predicted model, not a curated record
AUCUGAUUUUAGUUUCACAACUUUAUUGAAGUCACUAUUAAAAUUUUGUGAAAUUUAUUUUUCCACAACUCAAUAUUUCCUUCAUUUUUUAUUUGCGCGUGCUCAAUAAUAUUUGUAAAUCAAAAAUAAUAUUUGUAAGCAAAUAGAAAAUGGCUGAUAUUAACUCGGGUAAAAAGAAAAAGAACCGUGGUGGUGCAGGCACAUCUGGUAAAGCCAAGAAGCGAAUUGUUGAGAAAAUCUUAGGCAGACGUAACGCCAAUGGACACACUGAACUCUUAUUGAAAUGGAAGGAUUUACCCGAAGAGGAGAGCACAUGGGAGCCCCAAAGCAUGUUGGGUCCUGAAAACAUUCACAUGUUAACGCAAUUUAAUUACCAAUACCAACGAAUCCCGCCUAAGGCUGCGAAUCAAAAUCCACAAGCGGCUAAAGCUAAAGCAAACAACAAAAAAAAAUCAAAGCAGCCACCGCUGCCGUCACCGCCGGCGCCGGCGCCACAAACAAAAAGUGUGACCAAAGAGCACACGCACACAGAAAGAGUGCAGGUCGUAAACAAGCAAAGUUCCGAUCACGACAGCGAGGAUAAUUCAUCCGAAAGUAGCAGCAACUCGGACAGCGACAGCAGCUCUGCUGGUGACGAGACAAGCAGCAGCGAUGAAGAACCCGAUGUAGUGGAAAAGAAGGCUGCAGCAAUGGCAAAAAGCAGACAACAAAGCAUUCCAAACAACAACAAGAUGAAGUGCAAAUCACCAGCACCAAAAGCAUCCAAUAUGACCAACAAUUUAAAUGCAAGCGCGAGGCAAGGCUUGACCAACUUUGGGCUGGCACAAGUGCGUGAUCUGCUCAGCAGCGACGACGAGGAUGAUGAUGAGACUACAGCGGUGCCAGCUGCAAAGGCUGAUCAGGCGCUUGAGGGCGUCAAGCAGCAGGCACUCAGUUGGCUGAAGAUGAAAACAGCUGCGAAAGAAACUAAGAUUGAACAAGGAGCAAUAGAUAUACCUUUGAGGCGACGCAAGACUGGACCUAGCGAUGAUCGAAGUGUAGUGCAGCAAGUGAGUAAUCGAAUAAAACGACGUUCGAGUCUGGAUAGAGGCGAUCAAAAGAAUCUUGAAGAUGAGGAACACAAACCGUUUGAUACGAAUGAACCCAACGAAGGUGAUGUGCCGGCCACUUUUAGUGAAUUUAGGCAUUGGGAGAGAUCAUUUGACGGCGUCCACGAAAUGUUAUGGCAUCGAGCUGGGCUUGCCACUGGAGAAGGUGCUGAAGACCUUCCGGAUCAAUGGUGAAACUUUUGUGGUGGCCAAAUGGCGAAAUCGUGUUACACCCGAUGCAGUGAAGCUGAAAGUUCUAAAUGCCCUAUAUCCACAUCUUGUUAUUGAAUAUUUCGAGAAUCUUGAGAUGCGCACGGUAGACUAGACUACAAAAUGUGGUAAGCUCGGCUCCAUCACAAAUGCCGGACAACUUAACAUAAAUCAACGAAACACAACUUCUACAAGUAAAUAAAUGAAGUACAACAAACUUAUUCUAAUCGAGAAGGAUAAACGGAUAACAAAUAAGAGUUUUUGGUUUUUUAUAUAUAUAACCAAUGAAUGAUUUAACCGCCCUUUGAUACACACAACACUUAUGUUUAUAAAAACUGUAUAUGAUAUUCAACACAAUCAAUACAAUUAACAGUUAAUAUUCACUAAAUAAAGUUCACGUUUACAUUGUGAAAGUUGUUACCCUCUAAUUUGGGUAAAACUAGCUACCUUGUAAAUUUCCUUCAACAAUA